RNAcentral lists this ribosomal RNA (253 nucleotides) under uncultured bacterium. RNAcentral's name for it is "partial 16S ribosomal RNA". It matches the Rfam family "Bacterial small subunit ribosomal RNA", at positions 524 to 776 of the family's 1533-position model. The record is from RNAcentral.
UACGGAGGGUGCAAGCGUUAUCCGGAUUUACUGGGUUUAAAGGGUGCGCAGGCGGAUAUGUAAGUCAGUGGUGAAAUCUCUAGGCUUAACCUGGAAAUUGCCGUUGAUACUAUAUAUCUUGAAUGCUGUGGAGGUAAGCGGAAUAUGUCAUGUAGCGGUGAAAUGCUUAGAUAUGACAUAGAACACCAAUUGCGAAGGCAGCUCACUACACAAUCAUUGACUCUGAGGCACGAAAGCGUGGGGAUCAAACAGG